UCCAAGUACUCCACAGCGUGGCUGGCAAGAAAGGGUAUAAAAGAAGAAAAUCUAAUGACAUGGCCUCCUUGUUCCCCUGAUCUGAACCCCAUUGAGAACCUGUGGUCCAUCAUCAAAUGUGAGAUUUACAAGGAGGGAAAACAGUACACCUCUCUGAACAGUGUCUGGGAGGCUGUGGUUGCUGCUGCACGCAAUGUUGAUGGUGAACAGAUCAAAACACUGACAGAAU
Molecule: non-coding RNA, 229 nt
Organism: Pelobates cultripes (western spadefoot toad)
Lineage: Eukaryota; Metazoa; Chordata; Amphibia; Anura; Pelobatidae
Source: the annotation of a GenBank genome assembly